RNAcentral lists this long non-coding RNA (1014 nucleotides) under Capra hircus (goat). RNAcentral's name for it is "lncRNA (ENSCHIG00010032277.1)". Lineage: Eukaryota; Metazoa; Chordata; Mammalia; Artiodactyla; Bovidae. The record is from RNAcentral.
AUGGGUGUGUUUGGAAUCACUCACUCUUACCAUAUGGCAAUCUUCCAUGACAUCUUCCUUACUCCACUGGAAAAUAAUCUGGGAGGGGCAGGGGGAGAAGGAAAACUGUGGAUAAGGUUGCCUUUCAUAAAGAAAGGCCAGACCAAGAGCCAGCACUUCUUAAACCUAUUGCUUGAUUCAAAUGAAGCGCAGAAAUAUGAAAGAAAUUUUAGAAUCUUCUAACACAAAUUUCAGAUAGAAGACUGAAUUUUUAUGGCAGAAAGGUGUGUAGUAGGCACAUUUACCCACAUCCUUUUUUCCUCAAAGGGAAAAAUUCCAUCUGUUUACAUUUUAUAUUUAUUACAAAGAGAACAUUUGAAAUUACAUAUAGAUCUUAUUUUAAGGAAAACAGUUUAUGAAAAAGGAAUUUCCAUACAAGACAAAUUUGAUGGAUACAACCACACUUAACAAAAUAGAUCUUCAUAUUUCGAAUUUAAGAUGGGAUUUCUUCUGCUGAUAAAGUACAAAUAAAAGGCUUGAUCUAACACAAAUGGGCUUUGGGAAACACGGAAUAGCGUGGCAGGGAAUAGACAAUGGUGCCUGACGGCUUGAGUUCAAGUCCUACCCUUGGUUAUUCCUCAGUUUCCUCAAUUAAAAUAGACUUUACGGUAACAAUGCCUAACUCUUAGAAUUGCUGGAAGGAUUAAAUAAACAAAUAAUUGUAAAGCCCUUAAACAGUACCUGAUACANNNNNNNUUCCAUAUAAGGGCUUGCGAAGUGAAGUUCAAUCAACACAUUAUUUCAGAAAUUAGGAGAAACUUGUAACUUACACGAUUGUGUGUUAAGAUAUCAACGUGGAAAUAUAUUUUUUAUAUUCUUAAACCUGCCCCCAUAUUUCAGUUUUUCAAAAGUUAUCUCACUGGCAGCAAUAAGUCUUGGGCAAAUAUUCCUUCUGUACUCCAGGUGAUUUCUACCACAAUCGUAAGCAAUGACAGGUAACACUCCUACAAAUAUUUAUANNNNNNNNNCAGCAUG